This 407-nucleotide ribosomal RNA is filed under the name uncultured bacterium. RNAcentral's name for it is "partial 16S ribosomal RNA". It matches the Rfam family "Bacterial small subunit ribosomal RNA", at positions 30 to 526 of the family's 1533-position model. The record is from RNAcentral.
AUUGAACGCUGGCGGCAGGCCUAACACAUGCAAGUCGAGCGGAUCGGCGGACGGGUGAGUAUUGCCUAGGUAUCUGCCUGGUCGUGGGGGAUAACGUCCACUACCGGACGCUAAUACUACAUACUAUCAGUUGCGCCUGGGUCGGAUUGGCUAGUUGGUGGGGUAAAGGCCUACCAAGGCGACGGCCCGUAACUGGUCUGAGAGGAUGAGCAGUCACACUGGGACUGAGACACGGUCCAGACUCCUACGGGAGGCAGCAGUGGGGAAUAUUGGACAAUGGGCGAAAGCCUGAUCCAGCAAUGCCGCGUGUGUGAAGAAGGUCUUCGGAUUGUAAAGCUCUUUAAUUUGGGAGGCGUUACCUACAGAAUAAGCACCGGCUAACUUCGUGCCAGCAGCCGCGGUAAUAC